This 75-nucleotide transfer RNA is filed under the name Solirubrobacterales bacterium. RNAcentral's name for it is "tRNA-Lys". It matches the Rfam family "tRNA". From Rfam's summary of the family: Transfer RNA (tRNA) molecules are approximately 80 nucleotides in length. Their secondary structure includes four short double-helical elements and three loops (D, anti-codon, and T loops). The record is from RNAcentral. Lineage: Bacteria; Bacillati; Actinomycetota; Thermoleophilia; Solirubrobacterales. RNAcentral also lists the same sequence under 2 other names.
GCCCCGUUAGCUCAUCUGGUAGAGCGCCGGACUUUUAAUCCGGUGGGGCGGGUUCGAGUCCCGCACGGGGCACCA